This 724-nucleotide ribosomal RNA is filed under the name uncultured bacterium. RNAcentral's name for it is "bacterial SSU rRNA". It matches the Rfam family "Bacterial small subunit ribosomal RNA", at positions 10 to 725 of the family's 1533-position model. The record is from RNAcentral.
AGUUUGAUCCUGGCUCAGAUUGAACGCUGGCGGCGUGCUUUACACAUGCAAGUCGAGCGGCAGCAUGACCUUCGGGUUGAUGGCGAGCGGCGAACGGGUGAGUAAUACAUCGGAACGUACCUUCUAGUGGGGGAUAACGCAUCGAAAGAUGUGCUAAUACCGCAUAAUCUCUGAGGAGGAAAGGCGGGGAUCACGUAAGUGACCUGUCGCUGAAAGAGCGGCCGAUGGUCGAUUAGCUAGUUGGCGGGGUAAAAGCCCACCAAGGCGAUGAUCGAUAGCGGGUCUGAGAGGACGAUCCGUCACACUGGGACUGAGACACGGCCCAGACUCCUACGGGAGGCAGCAGUGGGGAAUUUUGGACAAUGGGGGAAACCCUGAUCCAGCAACGCCGCGUGAAUGAAGAAGGCCUUAGGGUUGUAAAGUUCUUUUGUCAGGGAAGAAAGUUUCUGUGCUAAUAUCAUAGAACGAUGACGGUACCUGAAGAAUAAGCACCGGCUAACUACGUGCCAGCAGCCGCGGUAAUACGUAGGGUGCAAGCGUUAAUCGGAAUUACUGGGCGUAAAGCGUGCGCAGGCGGAUAUGUAAGUUAGAAGUGAAAUCCCCGGGCUCAACCUGAGAACUGCUUUUAAGACUGCGUAUCUAGAGUUUGUCAGAGGGGGGUGGAAUUCCAAGUGUAGCAGUGAAAUGCGUAGAGAUUUGGAGGAACACCGAUGGCGAAGGCAGC